Molecule: transfer RNA, 77 nt
Filed under: bacterium
Lineage: Bacteria
Also listed under: 4 other names
Description: tRNA-Arg
Rfam family: tRNA
About the family: Transfer RNA (tRNA) molecules are approximately 80 nucleotides in length. Their secondary structure includes four short double-helical elements and three loops (D, anti-codon, and T loops).
Source: RNAcentral
GCGCCUGUAGCUCAGUUGGAUAGAGCAACGGAUUUCUAAUCCGUAGGUCGCAGGUUCGAAUCCUGCCAGGCGUGCCA